UCACCGCUUGCGCGGGCAGUCUCAUUAGAGUCCCCAGCAUAACCUGUUGGCAACUAAUGAUAGGGGUUGCGCUCGUUGCGGGGCUUAACCCAACACCUCACGGCACGAGCUGACGACAGCCAUGCAGCACCUGUGCAAAUGUCCCGAAGGAAAGCCCUAUUUCUAGAGCGGUCAUUUGCAUGUCAAGUCUGGGUAAGGUUCUUCGCGUUGCAUCGAAUUAAACCACAUGCUCCACUGCUUGUGCGGGUCCCCGUCAAUUCUUUUGAGUUUCAGCCUUGCGACUGUACUCCCCAGGCGGUAUACUUAACGCGUUAGCUACGGCACAACUAGGGUUGAGUCCAGUUACACCAAGUAUACAUAGUUUACAGCAAGGACUAC
Molecule: unclassified non-coding RNA, 378 nt
Filed under: uncultured Parachlamydiaceae bacterium
Lineage: Bacteria; Pseudomonadati; Chlamydiota; Chlamydiia; Parachlamydiales; Parachlamydiaceae
Description: contains 16S-23S intergenic spacer region
Source: RNAcentral